GACGAACGCUGGCGGCGUGCUUAACACAUGCAAGUCGAACGGAAAGGCCCUGCUUUUGUGGGGUGCUCGAGUGGCGAACGGGUGAGUAACACGUGAGUAACCUGCCCUUGACUUUGGGAUAACUUCAGGAAACUGGGGCUAAUACCGGAUAGGAGCUCCUGCUGCAUGGUGGGGGUUGGAAAGUUUCGGCGGUUGGGGAUGGACUCGCGGCUUAUCAGCUUGUUGGUGGGGUAGUGGCUUACCAAGGCUUUGACGGGUAGCCGGCCUGAGAGGGUGACCGGCUACAUUGGGACUGAGAUACGGCCCAGACUCCUACGGGAGGCAGCAGUGGGGAAUAUUGCACAAUGGGCGGAAGCCUGAUGCAGCAACGCCGCGUGCGGGAUGACGGCCUUCGGGUUGUAAACCGCUUUCGCCGGUGACGAAGCGUGAGUGACGGUAAUGGGUAAAGAAGCACCGGCUAACUACGUG
RNAcentral lists this ribosomal RNA (468 nucleotides) under uncultured bacterium. Its description in RNAcentral is "partial 16S ribosomal RNA". It matches the Rfam family "Bacterial small subunit ribosomal RNA", at positions 28 to 507 of the family's 1533-position model. The record is from RNAcentral.